RNAcentral lists this ribosomal RNA (492 nucleotides) under uncultured bacterium. Its description in RNAcentral is "partial 16S ribosomal RNA". It matches the Rfam family "Bacterial small subunit ribosomal RNA", at positions 29 to 507 of the family's 1533-position model. The record is from RNAcentral.
AGUGAACGCUGGCGGUAGGCCUAACACAUGCAAGUCGAACGGCAGCACAGUAAGAGCUUGCUCUUACGGGUGGCGAGUGGCGGACGGGUGAGGAAUACAUCGGAAUCUACUUUUUCGUGGGGGAUAACGUAGGGAAACUUACGCUAAUACCGCAUACGACCUACGGGUGAAAGCAGGGGAUCUUCGGACCUUGCGCGAUUGGAUGAGCCGAUGUCGGAUUAGCUAGUUGGCGGGGUAAAGGCCCACCAAGGCGACGAUCCGUAGCUGGUCUGAGAGGAUGAUCAGCCACACUGGAACUGAGACACGGUCCAGACUCCUACGGGAGGCAGCAGUGGGGAAUAUUGGACAAUGGGCGCAAGCCUGAUCCAGCCAUACCGCGUGGGUGAAGAAGGCCUUCGGGUUGUAAAGCCCUUUUGUUGGGAAAGAAAAGCAGCAGGCUAAUACCCCGCUGUUCUGACGGUACCCAAAGAAUAAGCACCGGCUAACUUCGUG